AUUGAACGCUGGCGGCAUGCCUUACACAUGCAAGUCGAACGGUAACAGGUCUUCGGAUGCUGACGAGUGGCGAACGGGUGAGUAAUACAUCGGAAUGUGCCUAGUAGUGGGGGAUAACUACUCGAAAGAGUGGCUAAUACCGCAUGAGAUCUACGGAUGAAAGCAGGGGAUCGCAAGACCUUGUGCUACUAGAGCGGCCGAUGGCAGAUUAGGUAGUUGGUGGGAUAAAAGCUUACCAAGCCGACGAUCUGUAGCUGGUCUGAGAGGACGAUCAGCCACACUGGGACUGAGACACGGCCCAGACUCCUACGGGAGGCAGCAGUGGGGAAUUUUGGGCAAUGGGCGAAAGCCUGAUUCAGCAAUGCCGCGUGCAGGAUGAAGGCCUUCGGGUUGUAAACUGCUUUUGUACGGAACGAAAAGCCCCGGGUUAAUACCCUGGGGUCAUGACGGUACCGUAAGAAUAAGCACCGGCUAACUACGUGCCAGCCGCCGCCGUAA
RNAcentral lists this ribosomal RNA (498 nucleotides) under uncultured bacterium. Its description in RNAcentral is "partial 16S ribosomal RNA". It matches the Rfam family "Bacterial small subunit ribosomal RNA", at positions 30 to 523 of the family's 1533-position model. The record is from RNAcentral.